Molecule: ribosomal RNA, 467 nt
Filed under: uncultured bacterium
Lineage: Bacteria
Description: partial 16S ribosomal RNA
Rfam family: Bacterial small subunit ribosomal RNA
Source: RNAcentral
GACGAACGCUGGCGGCGUGCUUAACACAUGCAAGUCGAACGGAAAGGCCUCAGCUUGCUGGGGUACUCGAGUGGCGAACGGGUGAGUAACACGUGGGUGAUCUGCCUUGCACUCUGGGAUAAGCUUGGGAAACUGGGUCUAAUACCGGAUAUGAACUGCCUUUAGUGUGGUGGUUGGAAAGUUUUUUCGGUGCAAGAUGAGCUCGCGGCCUAUCGGCUUGUUGGUGGGGUAAUGGCCUACCAAGGCGUCGACGGGUAGCCGGCCUGAGAGGGUGUACGGCGACAUUGGGACUGAGAGACGGCCCAGACUCCUACGGGAGGCAGCAGUGGGGAAUAUUGCACGAUGGGCGGAAGCCUGAUGCAGCGACGCCGCGUGGGGGAUGACGGCCUUAGGGUUGUAAACUCCUUUCGACAGGGACGAAGCUUUUUGUGACGGUACCUGUAUAAGAAGCACCGGCUAACUACGUG